This 504-nucleotide ribosomal RNA is filed under the name Staphylococcus aureus. Its description in RNAcentral is "partial 23S ribosomal RNA". It matches the Rfam family "Bacterial large subunit ribosomal RNA", at positions 451 to 957 of the family's 2925-position model. Lineage: Bacteria; Bacillati; Bacillota; Bacilli; Caryophanales; Staphylococcaceae. The record is from RNAcentral.
GACCAUCUCCUAAGGCUAAAUACUCUCUAGUGACCGAUAGUGAACCAGUACCGUGAGGGAAAGGUGAAAAGCACCCCGGAAGGGGAGUGAAAUAGAACCUGAAACCGUGUGCUUACAAGUAGUCAGAGCCCGUUAAUGGGUGAUGGCGUGCCUUUUGUAGAAUGAACCGGCGAGUUACGAUUUGAUGCAAGGUUAAGCAGUAAAUGUGGAGCCGUAGCGAAAGCGAGUCUGAAUAGGGCGUUUAGUAUUUGGUCGUAGACCCGAAACCAGGUGAUCUACCCUUGGUCAGGUUGAAGUUCAGGUAACACUGAAUGGAGGACCGAACCGACUUACGUUGAAAAGUGAGCGGAUGAACUGAGGGUAGCGGAGAAAUUCCAAUCGAACCUGGAGAUAGCUGGUUCUCUCCGAAAUAGCUUUAGGGCUAGCCUCAAGUGAUGAUUAUUGGAGGUAGAGCACUGUUUGGACGAGGGGCCCCUCUCGGGUUACCGAAUUCAGACAAACUCC